AGCAGGAUCUAGCAAUAGAUUGCUGGCGACCGGCGCACGGGUGAGUGACACGUAUCCAACCUGCCGAUAACUCGGGGAUAGCCUUUCGAAAGAAAGAUUAAUACCCGAUGGCAUAAUUAGACCGCAUGGUUUGAUUAUUAAAGAAUUUCGGUUAUCGAUGGGGAUGCGUUCCAUUAGGCAGUUGGUGAGGUAACGGCUCGCCAAACCUUCGAUGGAUAGGGGUUCUGAGAGGAAGGUCCCCCACAUUGGAGCUGAGACACGGCCCAGACUCC
RNAcentral lists this ribosomal RNA (272 nucleotides) under uncultured Bacteroides sp. RNAcentral describes it as "partial 16S ribosomal RNA". It matches the Rfam family "Bacterial small subunit ribosomal RNA", at positions 68 to 339 of the family's 1533-position model. The record is from RNAcentral. Lineage: Bacteria; Pseudomonadati; Bacteroidota; Bacteroidia; Bacteroidales; Bacteroidaceae.